UACGAAUGGAGCGAGCGUUGUUCGGAAUCACUGGGCGUAAAGGGUGCGCAGGCGGUUAUGAAAGUCAGAAGUGAAAUCCCAGGGCUUAACCCUGGAAUUGCUUUUGAAACUCCAUGACUCGAGUACUGGAGAGGUUAGCGGAAUUCCGAGUGUAGCAGUGAAAUGCGUAGAUAUUCGGAGGAACACCAAUGGCGUAGGCAGCUAACUGGACAGUAACUGACGCUCAUGCACGAAAGCGUGGGGAUCAAACAGG
Molecule: ribosomal RNA, 253 nt
Filed under: uncultured bacterium
Lineage: Bacteria
Description: partial 16S ribosomal RNA
Rfam family: Bacterial small subunit ribosomal RNA
Source: RNAcentral